CGGGUUGUAAAGCACUUUUAGUGGGGAUGAAAUGUGCAGGGUUAAUACCUCUGGCAUUUUGACCUAACCCACAGAAAAAGCACCGGCUAACCUCUGUGC
RNAcentral lists this ribosomal RNA (99 nucleotides) under uncultured bacterium. RNAcentral describes it as "partial 16S ribosomal RNA". The record is from RNAcentral.